AUGUCCUCAGUGGAAAGCAAAGGAGUUGGACACCAUGAGGGAAAUGCUUCAACCAGCAAUGUCCAUGGGCUAAAAGUGGGGUGCCCUUGGGAACAUCGGUGCCUCACUUUUCUUCACACAGGGUGGAGGACCGCCCAGUUAGCUGGGGUGUUGGAAUUCCUGAGCGGUCCCCAGCACCGGCCCCCAGCACAGGGACCCAACAGGACUGCUACUUGUGGAGGUAGACACCCAGCUACAGAGCUUGGGCCGUCCAUGCGUCUCCAUCACCGUCCUCCCACAGCCAGUCUAACCAUGGGCCUCUCUGUGACCAGAGGACAGAGGGAAAGCACGCUCCUUCCAUGCCCAGGAGCAGGAGAGAUCUAUUUUAGGAAAAGGGUGGUGGGGGUGGCCAGACAGGCCAGGAGAACCCAAGGGCAGGGGCCUGGCAUGGCUUUCUCAGAAAGCCCACAUAAUUGCCAUGUGAUUCUACAAGCUCACAGGGAGCCCAGAGGCCCAUGGCACAUCCUCUCUCUGCCCGCAGCCUCUGCUUCUGUCCAAGGACUCUUUGAGCCUGUGGAAGCUGCCCAGGAAGCCAGCCUUGCACUUCCUGGCCAGGCCACUAGGACUCUAUGUCACUUAUGGUGGCUAUGGGAGCCCUGCCCUGGUGCAUCCCUGCACGCAGCAUGAGCCCGCAGACUCCUCAGCAAGGCCCCUCCUGCACCCUGACAUUGCUGACUCCUGUUCUAUUGGGAAGACGUGGCGAAAUGGCAGAGCUGGCUUAUUACUCUGGGGAUGAUCCCCUCCUGUCCCCGGCCCGGGCCUCACUCCCCGCUGACUACCAGGAAAUUGGGAAGCUGAGCAGUCACACCGGAUGUUCCUCAACAUCUUCUGUUCUUGAACCAGAGAAUCACUCUGAAGAUGUUACAUUUGGCUUCAAGGGAAAAAGGGAGAAUUUCAAGCAAAGCCCAGGAUGAUUUGAGCCAAGGUGAUGUUUUCCCAGGGGAAAUAGUUUAACUCAUUUUUAUUGUCUACCUG
This 1014-nucleotide long non-coding RNA is filed under the name Capra hircus (goat). Its description in RNAcentral is "lncRNA (ENSCHIG00010031998.1)". The record is from RNAcentral. Lineage: Eukaryota; Metazoa; Chordata; Mammalia; Artiodactyla; Bovidae.